UUAAGAACUAUAGCUAGAAGAGAUUUUGGGGUGAGGUUCUUUUGAUGUGAGAGAUAGAUGGGCUUCUGGGCUGGACAGGUGGGGUUCAUCAAAUGGAAUAAAACUGAAGCUUUGUUCUCACCCAGACACUCUGAGGACAAAGCUAGUGGCAGAAGCUGAGCUCUACUGCAAUAAAGAGGUAAAAAAACUCAGACGGACACCUUAGGUACAUGGAAGUCCCUUAUUCGGAGGAGCAAGUUUUUUCACAAGAUGACCUCAUGGAGAAGAGAGCACCUAUUUAACCCAGACUUCUAUGCAAGAGAAUAACAUGCUAUAAUCUUGCUUCAAAUACUGCAAUGCUCUCUCACGAGGCCAGCCAUGAUUGGACCAGGGAAAGGAAACUGGCUUCGCGAUUUGUCAAUGGUCCUGUCAGUCUGAAUUUGGAGUGCUGCGUCGUGCAGAUUCUAACUGCCGGCCCUGAAGGUGAACCCGGAACUGGCAGCUUGGGGGUGACUGUUGAAGAGGUGAAGAAACUGCAAUUGGAACGGUUCUGAGAUAAACAUGUGGCCAAAAUUAAAUGGCUGAAUUGCCCACGUCACAAACAGAUACUCUUGUAGGACUUUUGCAUGCAAAUUACCAAUCUCUGUUAUCAGUUAUUGAUUAAGGUAAGCCCUGCAUAAAACUAACCUAUGAUAUAAGUCUUAGAUAGGGACUUUAAUUUUACUAAAAUGAAGUAAAUAAGAAUCAUUAAAGGGGCCUCCCUGGUGGUUCAGUGGUGAAGAAUCUGCCUGCCAGUGCAGGAGACACAAGUUCGAUCCCUGAGCUGGGAAGAUCCCACGUGCUGCAAAGCAACUAAACCCAUGUGC
Bubalus bubalis (water buffalo) is the source of this 845-nucleotide long non-coding RNA. RefSeq lists it as uncharacterized. The transcript has 4 exons. The record is from RefSeq and is a predicted model, not a curated record. NCBI's taxonomy places the organism in Eukaryota, Metazoa, Chordata, Mammalia, Artiodactyla, Bovidae.